GACCAAAAAAAAAAAAAAAAAAAAAAAGAGGACAGAGUCACAAAAGCCUUUGGUUGACCAAAAAAAAUCUCCUCCCAAAGAUGGGCAGCAAGAAAGAAAAGAUGUGUCCAGCUUCACAGGUGAUAUCAGUCCUGGGAGGGCUGAGCACUGCACUGUUUCCCUUCUGAUUUGUGCCAGUAUGGAAGCAGAAGAGCAGUCAGGAAAAACAAGGCACCACUAAAGGACCUGCCUGGCAUGAAGUGAGGAACCUACAGUCAAAUUCACAACAGAGCAACUUGUUGUUAAUAAAGUGGGAAACCAACACAGGUCUUCUCUCCCCUGCAGCCCACCUUCAUGGCAGGUGAGAGCUGGCAGCACCUUCCACCUUGAUUUCUGCAAUGGAACCAAAGCCCAGUCUCACCAAGAGAUGAGGAGACCAAGAGAAGGAUUAAUGUCCCCACUGAAAGCCUUUCAAAAGGUUCUAAAAGAGGACCAGUGUAAAUUCUCCUUGUUGCCAUAUGAGCAGAUAUGAGAGCUGACAACUUCAGCAGGGAGGAGAGAAAGCCUGGGGGUUUGUCUAGAUUUUUUUUUUAAACAGAAAACUUUGGAUUUACAGAAAAAUCCACGUGGAAAUGUGGUUGACCCUUCCCAUUGCAUCUUGGUUUCUCCAGUAAGUAGCACUCUGUUGUGCCCUGGAAAAAGUUCAUUAUCUAUCCAUACAAAUGUGGUGUAGAUGUGCUUAACUCAGUGUUACAUGGUGUGUCAGAGGAAAAAACACUUAAAAAUGGUGAUGCCAAGGACAGAACUGUAGUCCUUGUAACACUAUUUGUAGUUUUAGUGUUGUUUCCCCCUGCCUUUUCCUUCCAGAGAUCUCUGGCAUUCUGAGCCAGGGUUCAGGAUGCAGGAGGGAGCUGUGCAAGCCCACGGGCAUCACUAGAUGGUGCCAGCAGUCCACCAGCUCCUGCACUGCUCUUCCAGCCUGCAGGAACAUCCCGGCUGUGCGCUGGACACCUCGGCUGAGGAUGACGAGCCUGCUUUAUUUUUCCCAAGCUGAAAACAAGAAUCAACUGCGUUUUUCACAACGUUCCUAGUUAGUGAAUCGCUUCUAGGCAAAAGUAGUGCCAGAAACAUGGUCACGUUUUCAAGCAGCUGUAAAAUUUUACACAUGAAGAAAAGGAGCAGUUCUUGGGAGAGGAAUGAUAGGUGCAGCAGAACAGGUGUGUGAUGUGUUUAUGUGACACUGAACCGGUACUAACCCACUCUGUUACCCCACUGUGAGAAGUCAGAACAUGGUGCAGAACACUGAUGGCAUUGGUUUCUCUGUGUCCCCAGACACUCUGAAAAGGAAAUGCAUCUGGAGCCAGAAGUGAACACUUUCUCUGAACAGCAUCCCUCCAAGAAUAUCCAGGAAAACAGAGGCUGUCAAAGCUGUGAGCCAAAUGACAACUCAGGUUCUGACCUGUUGGGUUUCCUUCCACCUGAUAAGAAUUUGGUUGUCAAAAGAAAAUUUUACUCAGGAAGAUCCAAGUGGACAAGCAAGUCUGGACAACUUUCCUCGCCCCCCCCGCCCCCCCCCUUCCCCCAGGGGUAUUUCAACCUUUAAGCAUUUGUCUAUGACCUAAAGUAGGAUUUGAAAAUGUUGAAAACUGUUGAAAUAACAUAACUUCAUUGCAAUUUCUCCCAAUGUGGACUUGAAAUAAUUAUUGUGAAAAUACAAUUUGCAUUUUUGUUGAAGUUGUUUUCCAUUAGGAAACCCUCUGAUGGAUAGUUUCCAGCUGGUUCUUGAGGUUAGAUUUGUAUGCCCUGCUUUCUUUCAUCUCUUCUCUUUUUGGCCUUUGCUCCCUUCCUUGUGCCUAGUCAUUAAUGGGUUAUAGUGCUGCAAAUCAUAAGCUUGCAUUUGCAUUGUAGUUUUUAUAGCCUUCAAAACAACAAUGUCUGUUUAUUUCAGAAAGUGAACAGAUAAAAGCCUUGGUCAAUAAGUAAUUUCUUUACUCCAUUAUGUACUUACCCCCACAUUUGUAACAGUGAGACAAAGGAAGAAGUUUUGUAGGAGUCUGUUGGGGCUGGCCAAAUGUUUUCACUGGAACACUUUCACACACACAAUGUUCUUCAGUUAUUCUAAACCCCCACAACUUCAGCACAAACAGAAUUUGGACUUCUUGUGAAAAUCCAGUAAUAAUUUUUCAUAUUUUAAAUGAUAUUUUAGUUGAGCAUUUUUAGAAAAAAACAAUCUUAACAAUUCUUUUACAGAUUAGUUGACUUCAUCUUCUAUUGCUUACCAGCUGACCUCAAAACUGAUAAGCUUAUAAAUCUCUUGACAAAGUUUUUAACUAAGUGCAGUUCAAAGGGAGAGAGAGAGGCAAACAGUGACCCUGCUGAGGAUUCUGGGACUGCUCAUUGAGCCAACCAGUCCUCAGAAUCGGAAGGUCAUCAAGUGCCUGUAUUACAUGAACACUUUAACCAUCUGAAUUAUGUGGCCUGAUAUUUCAUAUAGAUUAAACUCCAACAGAUUUUCCCCUUAGUACAGGAUUUUCCAUAGCAAUAAUUCCAAUAGGAAUUUCAACUGUAUUUGUCCUACUUAGUCAUAGUGGAAAUAAGAGAGUGGAGGAAAACAAGGAGCAAGUCAGAAGAAGCUGUAGAAAUGCUGCACACAUUCCACACUUUCUCUGUGUGGGUUAAUUUCUCAGACUUUUGAAUGGAAUGACACUACUUUGGACACUACUUUAGACAGGAGAUCUGCUCCAGAAAAUUGGGCCAAAGGUCACUGAAAAGCAAUUUCUGAACAGCUGCUGGAUGAAAAAUAAAAGAAAACAGGCCUUCCAUGGGUGCCCCUGUGACCCUCUGCCCUGGAUAAAAUUUUAUUUACAUAUAUAUGUGCCAGGUGUGGCAAUGUCAGUGCCCUGACAAGUACGAAGUGUGUUCUGUUCACAAGAAUUUUCUCAGGGCGAAGAACAAAAUACCCCACCUCAAAGGCAAAGCUGGAGAGGGGCUGGAUGUUCCAGUUAGCAGCUGUACAUGAGAAACAAAGCAUUUUGGAUUCCCAUGCCCAUAGUCUCCUCCUCCUGAGAUAGUGAAGUAUUCUUUGGAGAUAAAAAGGGAGGUGAAGUACUUGAGAAAUCAUUUCUGGGUCAGAAAGAGGAUAUGGUGCUGACACUCAUUUUACUCUAAGGAACAAAACAAAGAGUGGUAAUUUAUUUCAAAUCUCAGCCCUUUAGAACGCAGACAGAAACUGCUCACAUAUAAAAACCUGCUCCUUGAUUGAGAUGUUUCAUUAACUGUAUGAAAUGGGACAAGGAAGAAACACUUGGGAAACCAGUGAAUUCAAAGAGAUUAUUUGAAGGUUAUGUGGUAAAACGCUUAGUUUCUUCAACUAAUUAGGGCUGCUGGGGAAUGUGCAGUUUCUAGGUCAUAUUAAGUGUAAGAAGCUUCCUUCUUUAGCCAAUAGAAAAAUAAGGCUUGGCUGAACUGUGUUUGCAAUGUAAUUUUUUCCCCCUUUGGUUAUCUCUCUUCAUUUUUUUAUUCUGUAUACUCGGCUACCAAAUCAGGUAGAGGCAGCAACCAAAACCACACCAUUUUAUUAAAAUCUACAGUUCAUAUUCAUGUCUCAUCUGGAAGAUCCCCCAAGUAAUUUUGAACUGUAAAACUUCAUAUAUGGUGCUUAAAAUCUUCUUCUUCAGCUGCACCUCAUGAUGGUGGUGGUUGUUGCUGUAUUUCCCAUGCUCUGAAAACAUGAACAAAAAGUGCAGAUGGUCCAGUCCUGGGCUCUGUUUAUCUUGAGAAGCUGAUUAUUUUGGUAGAGGAUGUUACACAAUAUUUUUAAAUGGGAAGGUUUUGUUUAUAUUUCUUUUCUUCUGCUGCAGUGAUGCAGCUGAUUGUUCCAGUCUCAGGACAGACUGUAGUCACAGCUGGUCUUGCCGUCCCCAUCUUACACAACCAUCUAGUGCCCCUCUGAGCAACAAACAAUCUUCUUCUGAGCUCCUGUCAAGGCUGGCUCCACCAUUCACACCUCUCUGCUACAAAAGUGCUUGCUACAGUUCAAUAGUGGAGGGAAGAAACAGCUGGUCUGUGCAUUUGUGGGAGAGCAGCAUUUAAUAAGCAGUGACAAGUGGCAGAAGGAAGAUCAAUCAUCACUGCUCUCCAGGAUUUGAAGUGGUUUUAUGCAGGACCUGGAGGAAAUGGAAUAUGCUUGGAAAGGAGGUGCAGUCACGAUGGAAAACAAAAUUUUAUGAUCCUUCUACUUCUAGAGCAAGAUAAGAAAUCACAUAACUUGCAGUGAAUCUCAGAGAUGAAGCUAUCCAGCAUGGGAUGAAUUAUCUACCACUAUCUGAAAAUCACUUGUGUGAGGUGGUCAAAACUUCACCAGCUUGAUCUUGACUUCAGACCACUGUAAAUGCAAAGCCACGGUCAGCAGAUGGACACUAGAGAAAUGGAGAAAAGCUGCAUGAUAGGUCUUCUCAAUUUCUUCAUGCAUCAAGAUGAAAGUCAAGACAGGGGGACAUGGACAUUGUAAAGGAACAUGCUUUUAGCCUGCAGUCUAACCUCCUGUUCUGGUUGUUUCCACUGCCUUUGGCAAUUCACUGGUACAAAAGGAAAUAUUGAUUUAGAGAUCUGUCUUAGCAUUGUAUCUUCCCUAUUAAAUACAGCAGGGAAAUUGAGAAUUCUGAGUAUUGAAUUUCAGAAAGGAUAAAUUUAUCAGCUAUUGCAGCAGACUUUUCCAAAGCAUAGAAAGUACUAUUAAAACAUAAAUGUACUAUCAGAGCAGUCAUGUAAUUUGAUUGGUUUUCUUCACUACCUUUGCCAUGCUUCCACACUACAGUCAGCAUUUGAGCUCUUUUGGCUCAGAAGAUGCCUACAGCAUGGAAGAAUGAUGUGCACUUCCAGCUGUGCCCAGCUGCUCUCCAGCCAGCAAAGUGCUGUGGGGCAGACCCAUUUUUUCAGAUUUCUACCAGCAACUGGUAUUGGAGGGUGUUGGCUUACUGAUGGUGUGAUGUUCAAACUGUAAGUUUUUAAUUUCACAGCAGCCCAGCCAGCCACUCUCCUAAGAUGAUUAAACGUUGGUUUUUGCCUUUUGAGCUCUGGCAGAGUGUUCCCUGAGUGCACUUAUACCGGGAAAGCUCUUAGAGCAGUUGGCUGGCUCUAAGUAUCCUGCCAAUGAGAACUGGAAAGGCUGCAGUAUUUAUCUUGCUGAUUUGUGGGCAUUUCAUUUUUCAGGUGGGAGCCUUUGGUCACAAAACGACCAUUGUCAAAGCUAAAGCAGCCACUGUGAGACUUUCUCAAAGGAGCCUCUCUCCUGGAUGUCUCAGGGUAUGUGUUAAAAAUUGGUGCACACGUGAGUCAUAAAGUCUCCCUGUAUUAUACAGAUGCCUGAAACAAAGAAGAAAAAGAAAAGCAUCUCCACACACCAAGAAAAUUCUUCCUUAGUCCAGAAGGAACUGAAGGCUCUGGGUGAUUCUUCUACUCUCCCAUACAAGAAGAAGUAAAAAAAAACCCACCUUAGCCUUGUUUAGAAAAUAAGGUGGGUAAGAAUUUAUAGGCAUUUCUGGUUUAUUUGUAAAUCAAAUGGUGGGUGAUAUCUGCAUCAAGGAACUCGAGACCAUGACGUAUCUCAGCUGGGACGAGAAUCAGAUGAGAAUUGAGGAGUUUGGUUCUUGGUGUUGAGCCAAAUCCUGCAGCACCAGAGCAUGGCUAGGUCUUACCAGGUCAGGUUUAUCCUCAGAGGUGACUUCACGCAGCUGGAGAUCCAAUACUUUGUUUCUGAGCCUUUUCAGAGAAGUAGUGACUCAGCUGGAGUUCUUCCAUCUGCUUGUGCCUUGAAAUACAGAGGUAUGGGUUAACUUUUCCCUAAAGACUAAGAGAAAGCUGUCUCUUUAGCCAGCCUAAUCUUCCUUUCACUCCUUUAGAAAGCUCACAUUGGGUAUUUAAUCCUGCUUUGCAGGAUUCAGCAGCAGAGAAUCACCUGCCUCACAUUUGAAAGACAAAUAAAAAAUAAUUGUUAGUCAUCCUUA
This is a long non-coding RNA of Parus major (Great Tit), 5984 nucleotides long. RefSeq lists it as uncharacterized. The record is from RefSeq and is a predicted model, not a curated record. The transcript is spliced from 6 exons. Lineage: Eukaryota; Metazoa; Chordata; Aves; Passeriformes; Paridae.